RNAcentral lists this ribosomal RNA (404 nucleotides) under uncultured bacterium. RNAcentral describes it as "bacterial SSU rRNA". It matches the Rfam family "Bacterial small subunit ribosomal RNA", at positions 28 to 421 of the family's 1533-position model. The record is from RNAcentral.
GAUGAACGCUAGCUACAGGCUUAACACAUGCAAGUCGAACGAAGAUGCCGGAGUGCUUGCACUUUGGCAGACUGAGUGGCGGACGGGUGAGUAACGCGUGGGUAACCUGCCUUAUACAGGGGGAUAACAGUUGGAAACGACUGCUAAUACCGCAUAAGCGCACGGUAUCGCAUGAUACAGUGUGAAAAACUCCGGUGGUAUAAGAUGGACCCGCGUCUGAUUAGCUUGUUGGUGAGGUAACGGCCCACCAAGGCGACGAUCAGUAGCCGGCCUGAGAGGGUGAACGGCCACAUUGGGACUGAGACACGGCCCAAACUCCUACGGGAGGCAGCAGUGGGGAAUAUUGGCACAAUGGGGGGAAACCCUGGAUGCAGCGACGCCGCGUGAGUGAUGAAGUAUUUCGG